Molecule: transfer RNA, 76 nt
Filed under: Coprobacillus sp. AF29-3BH
Lineage: Bacteria; Bacillati; Bacillota; Erysipelotrichia; Erysipelotrichales; Coprobacillaceae
Description: tRNA-Thr
Rfam family: tRNA
About the family: Transfer RNA (tRNA) molecules are approximately 80 nucleotides in length.
Source: RNAcentral
GCCGGCUUAGCUCAAUUGGUAGAGCAACUGACUUGUAAUCAGUAGGUUGAGGGUUCAAGUCCUUUAGCCGUCUCCA